This 368-nucleotide ribosomal RNA is filed under the name uncultured organism. RNAcentral's name for it is "bacterial LSU rRNA". It matches the Rfam family "Bacterial large subunit ribosomal RNA", at positions 2099 to 2465 of the family's 2925-position model. The record is from RNAcentral.
CUUGACUGUAGCUUGGAAUUGGGUUCGGGCUUUUCUUGCGCAGCCUAGGUGGGAGGCUAUGAAGAUUUCCUUCCGGGGAAGUUGGAGCCAACAGUGAGAGACCACUCUGGAAAGGCUAGAAUCCUCAUGGUGAUCCUUGAAUCAGGACACUUGACAGUUUCAGGCGGGCAGUUUCUCUGGGGCGGAGGCCUCAUAAAAGGUAACUGAGGUGCGCAAAGGUUCCCUCAGUCUGGACGGAAAUCAGACAACGAGUGUAAAGGCAAAAGGGGGCUUGACUGCAAGACCUACAAGUCGAGCAGGAGCGAAAGCUGGCCUUAGUGAUCCGACGGUACCGUGUGGAAGGGCCGUCGCUCAACGAAUAAAAGUUA